Long non-coding RNA from Leopardus geoffroyi (Geoffroy's cat), 2039 nucleotides. RefSeq lists it as uncharacterized. The transcript has 2 exons. The record is from RefSeq and is a predicted model, not a curated record. Lineage: Eukaryota; Metazoa; Chordata; Mammalia; Carnivora; Felidae.
GUGACGGCUAGACCAAUGGGAUUUGAAAAUGGCCUUGAUGAUUCAGACGGCCGUGACGUCAGCGGGGUCAAGUUGUCGGCAGGCGGAGCGCGCAGCGUGGAGUAACAGCGCCACCUAGCAGCCGCCUCGGGGUAGGGGCGCCGGAGCCCUUCCCCGCGAACAAAGGAAGCGCCCCCGGGGCGGCAGGGGCAGGAGAGGGGUGGAGGAAGGUGGGAGGGGGGGUUCUAGGAAGAAUGGGGUUUGUUUACCCGGGAACAAGCCUGUAACUCUUGGGGAAAGUGGGGCGGAGAGGGGGGAAAUGCAGGAGAGAGGGAGAGAUCAAGGCAUCUCGGGGCUCAAAACAGUCAAAUUCAAAUUAAAAGGUCAAGACACGAUUCAGGUACUUCUUCCCUUCGCUUCACCUCUUCUUUUCCUCUCCUGGCCUCUGGGCCCCGCUUCUUCCCUUGGGAUGGGUGUGGGGUGAACUUGGUGGGGAGGGCUCCAGUGGGCAGAGAAAGGGAGAAAAAGUUAAGGAAUCCCAAACAGAACUAAACUUCCUGCUCUCCCGCGUCCCGGUUCGCCGGGCUUGGCCCGGGAGCUCAGUUCCCGGACCUCUCCGCUCAUGGAAGCUGGUUGAGUUCUAAGUGCCCCGUGGGGCUUGACGGAGGAACCUCCCGUGUCUGGAGUGGACCAAGGAGGGGGUCACCAUCACUUCAGGACUGCUCCAGGAGGGAAACGGAAUCCGGAGAAUAACUUGUCUUUCCGGUCGCCCCGCAUUUCCCCCCACCCCGGACGAAGCCCGGGGUUUCGAUUUUCCAAAGGGCUGGAGUCUGGCCGGGCAAGGACCGGUGCUCAGGGCGCCCUGGCGUGGAGUGUGGAGGCUGGAUCGCUCCUGGAGAGGCCCAAGCCAGCGGCUGCUAGAAAAGGACUUCGGAAAGAAAUCAGCCGAACUCUCUCAUCCAGGGGGCAAGAGAGGAGGCACAGGGGUCCCUGGACCCCCGGGAAUCCUGGAAGAAAAUGUGUAAUGUGUGACUGGUUUGCAGGGCCAGCCAGGGGGAGAGUAGAAAGGGUUUUGUGUUUUCAUUUGCAGGGGUCGCCGUGGGCUCGGCGCAGGGGUUGGCCGGGGCAAGGUUAGGCUGUUUAGGCCCCAGACGAGACUUGGGACAGCCCGGGCGGCACUCAAUCCAGGGAGCCAUUUGUCCCACCGCCCACCCCGCGGGAAACGGCGGAGACUUUAUGGCCACUCUGUUUGUAUUAUCUGCAUAAGUCUUUCCCCACCAGUUUGAUCGAAACUGUUCGCUUUUACGAGGACCCAACGAAAAUUCCCCGUCAUAUUUAUCAGCCGGGGAUAAAAAUUUAGUAUGGGAACUGAUAUUUCCUCAUUUAUGGGGCGAUGAAAUUAAAGACCAAAGCAAUUGAGAAUUAUAUGGCUUUGGGGGGGGGUUCCUCCCCCCCUCUUUCACAUCUCCUUUAUUUUCCUGCCUGGUGUGCCUGUCCCUGGAGUUUGGCGUCCCAGUCUCCUGCCCUUGCCCCCUGUUUGGGGGUCUGCUGGGCCCUCUCCUUCACACCCAGGUACCGCUUGGCCAACCUUAGCUUUUCCUAGUUUUUCUCUCGGUGUCCGUAGCUGGGGGCCUCCCGGAGCCUCUGCCCCGGCCACGCUGGGAUCUGGCUGGGGUGGUGGAGGGUUGCCAAGAGCUUCGCAGGGGAAGAAUGGGAGCCCAGCCUGGGAGGGGGCGAGGAAGGGGGUGGGGGGUGAAGAGGACAAACUCCAGAUUACCUCUCAAAAACAGCAAGCCCCAAGACUUAACCUGGGGAACUAACGGGAGAGGAGCGGAGUCACUCCGCCUCCGGACCGGCUCUCCCUACCAGCCCGACACCCACCCCAAACUCACUCCUUACCUCAGCCAUGGGAGGGGUUGGAGUCGCUUCAGAAUUCUUGCCAUUAUUAAUGGAAAUUAUCCCCCCCCCCCGGGAGAAGGAGCCUCCCGCCUCGGCUCUCACCUCCUCACAAGAACGAAUAGUGUUUAAAGUUGAAAUAAUUAAAAGUAUGAUAAACACGG